Molecule: small nucleolar RNA, 136 nt
Organism: Peromyscus eremicus (cactus mouse)
Lineage: Eukaryota; Metazoa; Chordata; Mammalia; Rodentia; Cricetidae
Product: U8 small nucleolar RNA
Exons: 1
Source: RefSeq, a predicted model, not a curated record
ACACCAUAUGGAACAAUCCUUACACGUUUUUCCUUUUGAGAAGGGCCGAUGAGAACGUAAUGGCUAGGGUUGCCUCCAUCUGUGAUUAUGGCUCUGUCUAAUCAGGACUUAGAAAUCCUGAUGGCCCUUACCUGAU